Pseudopipra pipra is the source of this 1028-nucleotide long non-coding RNA. RefSeq lists it as uncharacterized. The transcript has 3 exons. The record is from RefSeq and is a predicted model, not a curated record. Lineage: Eukaryota; Metazoa; Chordata; Aves; Passeriformes; Pipridae.
AGGGUGUGCAUUUAAUUUAGUAAAUGUCUCUCCUAACCUGUCACAGCGCUGCUUGUUUUUGCUGGAGCAUAUGCUCUGGUGGGGGCUGUUGAUUCAGCAAAAGUAAUGGUAGCCGGUAGAGCUGAUCAAAUGCUCCAGAAAUAGUUUAUCACAUAAAUUAUUCAGCAGCUGUUGGUGUUUCUUAUCACAUAAUGUGUUUGACCACUUGGAGGUUGGUGUGCUCUGGUGCACAAGAUUGCUGAGGGGGCUUUUCUGCUUCACUCACCUUCGGUGCAGGUACAAAGGUUUCCUGUGCUCCUUGCUGGCAGUACAAGAGGGGAGGUGAGAGCCUUUGAGGUCUGUUAAAGGCUUACAGUCCUCUUAAAAAAAUUCACAGUUGGAGAAAGGCCAUAGAGAGCCCCAAAGAGCCACUAACUGUGUGUGUUAAAGAUGUUAUCCUUCAUUCAACACUGCCACAGUUGUGCCAGUAAAAGGGAUAACUGAAUGGUCCCUGGGUGCUGACCUCAGGUAACCCAUCUGUCUGUGCCCAAAGCUGAGCUAGCACAGCCUUUGGGGCUGAUGGAGCUGUGGGAGUGGCAGGCAACCUCCAGCAGAAGCCAGCAGGCCUGCUAGUUGUUUGGAGAGUGGGUGUCUGGCUGUAUUGCAGCACAGCACUGCACACGGCUCUGCCAGCAACAAACCAGUUUAAACUCUUUUUGUUUGGUUGAAGAGCUUGUGUGUCUCAUGUUUCUCUACAGAAAGUUUGACUGCCAUCUGAUCUGACACAUCUAUGCUUGUAUCAGUGCUUGUAAGGUUUGGUUAUUUUUUUGUUUUCUGGAACAGUUGUCCCUGUCACCUGCCUGACUUGACUGGGUCUCAUCGUGUAGCAGCCGUUUCCCAUCCACAGUACUGGAGUCAAUUUUGGACAUGCAACAUCAAAACACCUUCUUAUGGUGGCUUGAGUCUUGACAGGAGAGGAGACCAUGCUGGACUACCUCAGCAUCCUCAGGGCAGUGGCACUAACUGUGUUGGGAGGCACCACUGCAGAC